RNAcentral lists this long non-coding RNA (2049 nucleotides) under Gossypium barbadense (sea-island cotton). RNAcentral's name for it is "long non-coding RNA (GBAR_LNC000159)". The stretch from base 1151 to 1193 matches the Rfam family "Histone 3' UTR stem-loop". The record is from RNAcentral. Lineage: Eukaryota; Viridiplantae; Streptophyta; Magnoliopsida; Malvales; Malvaceae.
ACAUUUCUCACCAUUACCAAAACAUAGUGCCAAAGCCUAAAUUGCACAAAAUCUUCAACUAAAAUCACAAAACCCUUUAUUUUUCAAAGACCCAACAAAUGGCAGUACACAAUCAAAACACAAACCCUAAUUUCCUUCAACCCAACAAAAAAAUUUACCUCUUUGAAGUUAUCGCACUCAAAGAAUUUUCUCCCUUUGUUCCGUGGAGUAUUCGCAUUGCAAAUGGAAGCCUUUAACCCCCAAUGGUAGUAUAAAAAAGUUGAAUAAGACAUUUAUGAAUAGAUAAACCCUAAGAGAAUCCCUAAUACAAAGUUAACAAAAAUAAUGAACAUAUGAAAAACUUAGAAAAUGAAAGAUGUAGAAAACGAUGAAAAAACAAUGGAAAAUUUAGAAAUAUGGUGCAAGGAGAAAAAUUAAAUGGAAAGUUUUUUAAGGGAUUUUUUUAAAGGAAAUUUAAUUAAAGGAGUCCAGUCACUUGCCAAUAGGAUGCCACGUGGCAUCGUGCCAUUGGCCAAUGCUACCAUAUCAUAAAAAAACUAAGGGCAUUAGACUCAAAUAUCAAUUUAGUUGAUGAAAAAAAAUUGAAUACCAAUUUGGGAUAAAAAAAAAAACUUUAAGUACCAAUUUAAGAUAAAUAAACAAAUUCAAGUAACAAUUAUAUAUUUUUCCCUAAAAUAUAUAACAUAUGAACACUUAUCAAAACCUAUGAUAACUUGAAACCAAACUAACCCGAAUUUAAAAAUAACCCUGUAAUUAGCCAAUUUUGGCCUAAGCCCAAAGCAAGAAUAAGACGAAAGCAAUAAAACCCAAAUAAACAAAUAAACAAAAAAAAGAAAAGAAAAAGAGAGAGUCUACAUUUAAAGUCCAAAAUUACAAAUUAAAACCCAUUACAUGUUGAAAUCCAAACCCAAACAGCCCAUUACAUCAAACCCUAGCCCAAAUCCUAGCCUAUUAUCCUAAAUUUUUUUCAGCAAACUAACCCUAGGGCUAGUCCCUAUUGCGGCCGCCGCUCCCACCAUUGGCCUCCCCACGCAUGCUCAGCCACCUCACGCGCCAACCACUGUUCACCCACGCCUCUGACACCUGCAGAAGAAGUAAAUGCAACAAAGACAAGGAAGAAAACGACAAAAAAAAGGAUUGAAUCGUCUUGUAAACGGCUUUAAAAGCCACAAUCUCACCCUUGUAAAUUUUUUACAAACACUUACGAACAUUUUACGAGAAUAUAUAAAAAAGCAGAACAAUUUUUAGGUGAUUUUUCGCUUAAGUUUCCGUUUUAUUUUUAUUUCAUUGGUUAUUUUUAUUUUUUGUUUUUUGUUUUGCAUUCGAAAAUAAGUAAAGAAACCUCACCUGAAUCUCCACGGACGUGAAGUCGGAAAGCUUUCUCCGUCGUUGCAAUCGGGUUCGAAAGGGGGGCGAGGGUUCUCUUCUUUUGUUUCUUAUAGGACGCUGAAGGUUUGGCCUUCAAAGGGGCUUUGAAAUGGGGUUGGAAUGCCCAUUUUUGCGCGUAGCCGGCCACCGAAUGCAGUGGUGGUGCGGCGGGCAGCGAGAGAACCCGAUCAUCAGAAGAAGAUGAGAGGGAGAGAGAGUUGGAAAGGCUCUUUAGUUUUUUUCUUUUUUUUUUUAGUUUAGGGUUAAUUUGAGUUUUUUUUUUUAAAGUUUGGGCCUUUGAUUCAACAUUUAAACAGUGUCAUUUGGUGGGGUGGGGAUCCGCGCAUUGACCUGACCCGCAUGUCAGGUCCACCCGUUUUCGUUUUAAAGGGGCGAUUUGCGUAAAUGGUCCCUCCUUCUUUCCUGCACCAUUCGAUUAAGUCCCAUUCCAUUUUCUUUGUCUUCUAAUUUUACCCUAAAAUUUGCGCGUCAUUUCAUUUUGGCCCAGGAUGAAGCACAGCUCAUUGAGGGGUCUGGGGUAUUUUUCCUUUUGCCCCCUUUAUUUUUGGUUUGUUGCGAAUUGGUCCAUCAUUUCAUUUUCGUUACUUAGGAUUUAUACCCGAAACUCUAAUCUAUUUUCAAUCGCAUCCUAAACCUAUUUUAUUCAUUUUCUUUUUAAAA